ACACUCCUGCGGGAGGCAGCAGUGGGGAAUAUUGCACAAUGGGCGCAAGCCUGAUGCAGCCAUGCCGCGUGUAUGAAGAAGGCCUUCGGGUUGUAAAGUACUUUCAGCGGGGAGGAAGGCAAUACGGUUAAUAACCGUGUUGAUUGACGUUACCCGCAGAAGAAGCACCGGCUAACUCCGUGCCAGCAGCCGCGGUAAUACGGAGGGUGCAAGCGUUAAUCGGAAUUACUGGGCGUAAAGCGCACGCAGGCGGUCUGUCAAGUCGGAUGUGAAAUCCCCGGGCUCAACCUGGGAACUGCAUUCGAAACUGGCAGGCUUGAGUCUUGUAGAGGGGGGUAGAAUUCCAGGUGUAGCGGUGAAAUGCGUAGAGAUCUGGAGGAAUACCGGUGGCGAAGGCGGCCCCCUGGACAAAGACUGACGCUCAGGUGCGAAAGCGUGGGGAGCAAACAGGAUUAGAUACCCGUGUAGUCCCAUGA
RNAcentral lists this ribosomal RNA (476 nucleotides) under uncultured organism. RNAcentral describes it as "partial 16S ribosomal RNA". It matches the Rfam family "Bacterial small subunit ribosomal RNA", at positions 333 to 800 of the family's 1533-position model. The record is from RNAcentral.